This is a long non-coding RNA of Gossypium arboreum, 315 nucleotides long. RefSeq lists it as uncharacterized. The record is from RefSeq and is a predicted model, not a curated record. Lineage: Eukaryota; Viridiplantae; Streptophyta; Magnoliopsida; Malvales; Malvaceae. The transcript has 2 exons.
UGGAUGAAAUAUGAAGUUUUAUUAAAAGAAAAAGGGGUGAAAAGAACAAAGUUUUGUCCAUCGUUGUUCAUCAUAGCUGAAAGUUAGAGAAGAGAAAGGAGAGGAGAAAGCUCUUGAGUAUUCGGUCAUUAGGAGGAGGAAAAUUGAAGGAAAUCCCCAACCAUAGUGGGCUUGGAGCUGUGAGGGAAUUCGGAGUGGCCACCCGUUCUGAAAGUUUGAUUUUCUUCUGGUGAACUGGACAUCCUUUUAUUUACGUUUGAAGUUUUUGGGCUUUUAAAUGUAAUAAGGCCGCUUAAUUAUUUUUGAUGGUUUUAA